UGCAAUUCAAGCUUUAAUGUCCCUAAAUUAAAUUUCAUUGGGAUACCGUCCUGCUCAUUUGUUUAUAUUUUGUUUAUAACUGCCUUUGUGCGAAAGCAGCAGAGUUGAAUAUUUGCUAAGACCGUAUGUUCUGCAAAUCCUAAAUAUUUUACUAUCUCAUCUUUUACAGAAAAAGUUUGUAGCUCCUGGGUUAGGAUUUACGAGAUUAAGAGCAAGCCUUCAAGGUCCAAUAAUAGAGUGUUGUUGCCUUCUGUAGACAGUAGAGGGCAGCAGAGAGCUGAUGGGCUGGAGAUUCUAUACCGUUUCUGCAGCCGGGAAGCCCGGGAUGGUUUCUGCCAAGGGCACCAGGGCUCUUGGGCUGGAAAGGGAAACCACCAGAAUGCUUGUGAGGCUGAUUUGGGAGAAAGUAGAAUCUUCUGGGGAGAAGGCAAUGGCACCCCACUGGAAAAUCUCAUAGAUGGAGGAGGAGGAGGGGGAGGAGGAAGAGGACGGAGCAGCCUGGUAGGCUGCAGUCCAUGGGGUCGCGAAGAGUCGGACACGACUGAGCGACUUCACUUUCACUUUUCACUUUCAUCCAUUGGAGAAGGAAAUGGCAGCCCACUGCAAUGUUCUUGCCUGGAGAAUCCCAAGGACGGCGGAGCCUGGUGGGCUGCCGUCUAUGCGGUCGCACAGAGUCGGACACGACUGAAGCGACUUAGCAGCAGCAGCAGAAUCUUCUGGAGUCUCUCUGCAUCCCUCCCGCUUUCCUGUCUUUAUGUAAAUACUAGACUGUGCUCUGUCUGCUCUCUUGGAGAUCAAAUCCAAGCUCUAUCAGUCUGGUUCCCAAAGCUCCAUCUCUCUCUGCCUUUAUUUCUUGAUCUUCAUUGCUUGGCUCCAUCAGUGUGUUGUUGUUCAGUCAGUAGAAAGUGAAGUCGCUCAGUCAUGUCCGACUGUUUGUGACCCCAUGGGCUGUAGCCUACCAGGCUCCUCCGUCCAUGGAAUUUUCCAGGCAAGAGUACUGGAGUGGGUUGCCAUUUCCUUCUCCAGGGGAUCUUCCCAACCCAGGGAUUGAACCCAGGUCUCCCGCAUUGCAGGCAGACACUUUCCCAUCUGAGCCACCAGGGAAGCCCUGUCACUAAGACCAACUCUUUUCAACCCCAUGGACGGCAGCACACCAGGAUUCCCUGUCCUUCACUCUCUCCCAAAUUUUGCUUAUAUUCAUGACCAUUGAGUCAGUGAGCUGACUCCAAACCUGAUAGUUCAAUAAUACAGAUACCGUGCUCC
This 1263-nucleotide long non-coding RNA is filed under the name Ovis aries (sheep). Its description in RNAcentral is "lncRNA (ENSOARG00000026460.1)". Lineage: Eukaryota; Metazoa; Chordata; Mammalia; Artiodactyla; Bovidae. The record is from RNAcentral.